RNAcentral lists this transfer RNA (53 nucleotides) under Cautires sp. UPOL 000205. Its description in RNAcentral is "partial tRNA-Ser". Lineage: Eukaryota; Metazoa; Arthropoda; Insecta; Coleoptera; Lycidae. The record is from RNAcentral.
AAAGAAAUAUCGUUUAAAAAGCUUCUAACUUUUCCCCAGCAAUAAUUUGUUAU